Molecule: ribosomal RNA, 716 nt
Filed under: Pseudomonas sp.
Lineage: Bacteria; Pseudomonadati; Pseudomonadota; Gammaproteobacteria; Pseudomonadales; Pseudomonadaceae
Description: bacterial SSU rRNA
Rfam family: Bacterial small subunit ribosomal RNA
Source: RNAcentral
GUCGAGCGGAUGAAGGGAGCUUGCUCUCUGAUUCAGCGGCGGACGGGUGAGUAAUGCCUAGGAAUCUGCCUGGUAGUGGGGGAUAACGUUCCGAAAGGAACGCUAAUACCGCAUACGUCCUACGGGAGAAAGCGGGGGAUCUUCGGACCUCGCGCUAUCAGAUGAGCCUAGGUCGGAUUAGCUAGUUGGUGAGGUAAUGGCUCACCAAGGCGACGAUCCGUAACUGGUCUGAGAGGAUGAUCAGUCACACUGGAACUGAGACACGGUCCAGACUCCUACGGGAGGCAGCAGUGGGGAAUAUUGGACAAUGGGCGAAAGCCUGAUCCAGCCAUGCCGCGUGUGUGAAGAAGGUCUUCGGAUUGUAAAGCACUUUAAGUUGGGAGGAAGGGUAUUCACCUAAUACGUGAGUAUUUUGACGUUACCGACAGAAUAAGCACCGGCUAACUUCGUGCCAGCAGCCGCGGUAAUACGAAGGGUGCAAGCGUUAAUCGGAAUUACUGGGCGUAAAGCGCGCGUAGGUGGUUCGUUAAGUUGGAUGUGAAAGCCCCGGGCUCAACCUGGGAACUGCAUCCAAAACUGGCGAGCUAGAGUACGGUAGAGGGUGGUGGAAUUUCCUGUGUAGCGGUGAAAUGCGUAGAUAUAGGAAGGAACACCAGUGGCGAAGGCGACCACCUGGACUGAUACUGACACUGAGGUGCGAAAGCGUGGGGAGCAAA